GAUGAACGCUGGCGGCGUGCCUAAUACAUGCAAGUCGAACGCUGAAGGAGGAGCUUUCUCUUCUGGAUGAGUUGUGCACGGGUGAGUAACACGUAGGUAACCUGCCUGUUAGCGGGGGAUAUCUCUUGGAAACGAUAGCUAAUACCGCAUGACAACAGUUAUUGCAUGAUAACUGUUUAUAAGAGGCAACUGCUCCACUACCAGAUGAAGCUGCGUUGUAUUAGCUAGUUGGUGAGGUAACGGCUCACCAAGGCGACGAUACAUAGCCGGCCUGCUAGGGUGGUUGGCCACACUGGGAAUGAGAAACGGCCCAGGAUUCUACGGGGGGGAGCAGUAGGGAAUCUUUGGCAAAGGGGGGAAGUCUGAACGAGGAACGCCGGGGGAGUGAAGGAGGGUUUCGGAUCGUAAAGAUUUUUUGAAAGGGAAGAACGAGUGUGGGAGGGGAAAGUGCACAGUGUGACGGUAUCUUACCAGAAAGCGACGGCUAACUACGUG
Molecule: ribosomal RNA, 495 nt
Filed under: uncultured bacterium
Lineage: Bacteria
Description: partial 16S ribosomal RNA
Rfam family: Bacterial small subunit ribosomal RNA
Source: RNAcentral